AAUCCUAACAUCAGCAAAGACCAUAAGAUCUCUUCUACACAAGUACAACCACAAGAGAAUGAUACUAACUUACUUGAAUGGCACAACAAAGUGUGAGUGGGUCCAUAACCUAUUGAAGAAAUACAACAAGCAAGAUACAAGUAAGUAAAAAUCAGCAAGGUUGCACACAAGAGAAGUGGGGAAUGAGAUACUUCUCACUUCCAACUUCCU
Molecule: long non-coding RNA, 210 nt
Filed under: Physcomitrium patens
Lineage: Eukaryota; Viridiplantae; Streptophyta; Bryopsida; Funariales; Funariaceae
Description: long non-coding RNA (PPAT_LNC001844)
Source: RNAcentral